UACGAGGGGGCAAGCGUUGUUCGGAAUUAUUGGGCGUAAAGGGUGCGGUAGGUGGUUCGGCAAGUCGUUUGUGUGAAAUCUUCAGGCUCAACUUGAAGUCUGCACAAGAAACUGCCGGGCUUGAGUAUGGGAGAGGUGAGUGGAAUUUCCGGGUGUAAGCGGUGAAAUGACGUAGAUAGUCGGAAAGGAACGACCUGUGGCGAAAGCGGCUCACUGGACCCAUUACU
Molecule: ribosomal RNA, 227 nt
Filed under: uncultured bacterium
Lineage: Bacteria
Description: partial 16S ribosomal RNA
Rfam family: Bacterial small subunit ribosomal RNA
Source: RNAcentral